ACCCUAUACGGGGGAUCACUUGGCUCGUGGGUCGAUGAAGAACGCAGCUAACUGUGUGAAAUCGUGUGAACUGCAGGACACAUGAACAUCGACAUUUUGAACGCAUAUUGCGGUCCAUGCAAAAGUUUUUUCUCUUUUGAUAAAACUGCAUGGACCACGUAUGGUUGAGUGUCG
RNAcentral lists this ribosomal RNA (174 nucleotides) under Nyssomyia umbratilis. RNAcentral describes it as "5.8S ribosomal RNA". It matches the Rfam family "5.8S ribosomal RNA". Rfam says of the family: 5.8S ribosomal RNA (5.8S rRNA) is a component of the large subunit of the eukaryotic ribosome. It is transcribed by RNA polymerase I as part of the 45S precursor that also contains 18S and 28S rRNA. Functionally, it is thought that 5.8S rRNA may be involved in ribosome translocation. Lineage: Eukaryota; Metazoa; Arthropoda; Insecta; Diptera; Psychodidae. The record is from RNAcentral.